UGCAAGUCGAGCGGUAGCACAGAGAGCUUGCUCUCGGGUGACGAGCGGCGGACGGGUGAGUAAUGUCUGGGAAACUGCCUGAUGGAGGGGGAUAACUACUGGAAACGGUAGCUAAUACCGCAUAACGUCGCAAGACCAAAGUGGGGGACCUUCGGGCCUCAUGCCAUCAGAUGUGCCCAGAUGGGAUUAGCUAGUAGGUGGGGUAAUGGCUCACCUAGGCGACGAUCCCUAGCUGGUCUGAGAGGAUGACCAGCCACACUGGAACUGAGACACGGUCCAGACUCCUACGGGAGGCAGCAGUGGGGAAUAUUGCACAAUGGGCGCAAGCCUGAUGCAGCCAUGCCGCGUGUAUGAAGAAGGCCUUCGGGUUGUAAAGUACUUUCAGCGAGGAGGAAGGCAUUAAGGUUAAUAACCUUAGUGAUUGACGUUACUCGCAGAAGAAGCACCGGCUAACUCCGUGCCAGCAGCCGCGGUAAUACGGAGGGUGCAAGCGUUAAUCGGAAUUACUGGGCGUAAAGCGCACGCAGGCGGUCUGUUAAGUCAGAUGUGAAAUCCCCGGGCUCAACCUGGGAACUGCAUUUGAAACUGGCAGGCUUGAGUCUUGUAGAGGGGGGUAGAAUUCCAGGUGUAGCGGUGAAAUGCGUAGAGAUCUGGAGGAAUACCGGUGGCGAAGGCGGCCCCCUGGACAAAGACUGACGCUCAGGUGCGAAAGCGUGGGGAGCAAACAGGAUUAGAUACCUGGUAGUCCACGCUGUAAACGAUGUCGACUUGGAGGUUGUUCCCUUGAGGAGUGGCUUCCGGAGCUAACGCGUUAAGUCGACCGCCUGGGGAGUACGGCCGCAAGGUUAAAACUCAAAUGAAUUGACGGGGGCCCGCACAAGCGGUGGAGCAUGUGGUUUAAUUCGAUGCAACGCGAAGAACCUUACCUACUCUUGACAUCCAGAGAACUUAGCAGAGAUGCUUUGGUGCCUUCGGGAACUCUGAGACAGGUGCUGCAUGGCUGUCGUCAGCUCGUGUUGUGAAAUGUUGGGUUAAGUCCCGCAACGAGCGCAACCCUUAUCCUUUGUUGCCAGCGAUUCGGUCGGGAACUCAAAGGAGACUGCCAGUGAUAAACUGGAGGAAGGUGGGGAUGACGUCAAGUCAUCAUGGCCCUUACGAGUAGGGCUACACACGUGCUACAAUGGCAUAUACAAAGAGAAGCGACCUCGCGAGAGCAAGCGGACCUCAUAAAGUAUGUCGUAGUCCGGAUUGGAGUCUGCAACUCGACUCCAUGAAGUCGGAAUCGCUAGUAAUCGUAGAUCAGAAUGCUACGGUGAAUACGUUCCCGGGCCUUGUACACACCGCCCGUCACACCAUGGGAGUGGGUUGCAAAAGAAGUAGGUAGCUUAACCUUCGGGAGGGCGCUA
This 1406-nucleotide ribosomal RNA is filed under the name bacterium. Its description in RNAcentral is "bacterial SSU rRNA". It matches the Rfam family "Bacterial small subunit ribosomal RNA". The record is from RNAcentral.